Chlorocebus sabaeus (green monkey) is the source of this 280-nucleotide long non-coding RNA. RefSeq lists it as uncharacterized. NCBI's taxonomy places the organism in Eukaryota, Metazoa, Chordata, Mammalia, Primates, Cercopithecidae. The record is from RefSeq and is a predicted model, not a curated record.
AGCCGCUCGGCCUAGAGCGGCUCGCCGGCCUCCCGGUCGGCCACGCGCUAAAACUGGUUUCAGGAAUCUGAGCUACACCCCAAAAUGGGGAGAACGCGGAUCGAAAGGAGGCCUUCCCGGCCGCGUCCUAAGUGACAGCCAUGUGAUGUGCCUGCUCCCACUUCGCCUUCUGCCAUGCGUAAAAGCUACCUGAGGCCUGCCCAGAAGCAUAUGCCAGCACUGUGUUUCCCGUACAGCCUGCAGAAUCAUGAGCCAAUUAAACCUAUUUUCUUACACAUUA